UGAUCAUACGAGUCCCGAAUAACCAGUCAUGAGUUCUUUAAACUAAUUAUGCAUUAAUGUACAUCAAGCAAGACUAGAAUUACUUCUUAAUUUGGUAUUAUGUGGACAGCGUAGCCUGUUGAUAGGUUAGUUAGAAAACACCUCCUACAUUUCAUUGUGUAUUAAAGGACAUGCAAACUGAAGGGAAACAUUUCUGGAGAACUUUGUUUAAAAAUCCAUACGACCGACUGAACACAGAAGACUUUCUUCUUCAUUUGAAUCCUGUUUUUCAAAAGAUUUAAACCUGAUUCAGCUCCAUUUUUCAGGGCUGUAGGCUGAACUGCUGUGGGUGAACCAGCCAACUAACCAGUAGGGACUUGAACCACUGCAGGUGAACCAAACAACCACUCCUCAGUCACACAGAAAAAUCUGGUAAGUGACUUCACUUGGAAAUGUCAUUACAUGUGCUUGGUAAGCCGUAGAGCAGCAUUUCUACUCUGAUUUAAACAUUUAACAAGUACGAGCAGACUGGACUGGAGCUGUCAUGAAGGCAUCAAGGAAAAGCAGACACAAUAUCUGGAAUAUGUUUUUAUUAUAGAGCUAAAAGAUUUAGAAACAAAAUAACAGCAGCAACAACUUUGUAAAUUAAACAUUUUACAGAUUUAGCAAAAUCAGAUUCUUCUAUAUUUAAUUUUAUCUUUAUAAUAACAUUUAAUGCAGCUUCCAUAGCAGUUUCUCAGUUUAACUGUAGGCUGAAAUUCUGCAGUAAUUUAAACUUAUUCAUUCCCCCUCAUCUGUAUCAUUGAGAUAUCCAGAAAACUACAACCAGCUAACAGAAGAAGAGUUUAAAGAUAGCAAGUUACUUAAGAGUCACAUCUAAAAACACACAAAUGAAGAGUAACAUGUAAAGAAUUUCCUCUUCUGGAUGUGGCUACAGCAUUUAUAAAACUGAUCACAGCUCGGCGCGAUACUUUCUUAAUUAUACACCUGAUGUACGCAUCUCAGAUUUUGAGAUGGAAGGAGACCGCUUCUGUAAUUCAGAUUAUUUUAAACAUGUUCUAAACCCCCCCCCCUCAA
Molecule: long non-coding RNA, 1056 nt
Organism: Melanotaenia boesemani (Boeseman's rainbowfish)
Lineage: Eukaryota; Metazoa; Chordata; Actinopteri; Atheriniformes; Melanotaeniidae
Exons: 3
Source: RefSeq, a predicted model, not a curated record